UACGUAGGGGGCUAGCGUUGUCCGGAAUCAUUGGGCGUAAAGAGCGCGUAGGCGGCCAGAUAAGUCCGGUGUGAAAGUCACAGGCUCAACCUGUGAAUGCCGCUGGAAACUGUAUGGCUAGAGUCCGGAAGGGGCGAGUGGAAUUCCUGGUGUAGCGGUGAAAUGCGCAGAUAUCAGGAGGAACACCGGUGGCGAAGGCGGGUCUCUGGGCCGAUACUGACGCUGAGGAGCGAAAGCGUGGGGAGCGAACAGG
This 253-nucleotide ribosomal RNA is filed under the name uncultured bacterium. Its description in RNAcentral is "partial 16S ribosomal RNA". It matches the Rfam family "Bacterial small subunit ribosomal RNA", at positions 524 to 776 of the family's 1533-position model. The record is from RNAcentral.